This is a long non-coding RNA of Lutra lutra (Eurasian river otter), 998 nucleotides long. RefSeq lists it as uncharacterized. The transcript has 7 exons. The record is from RefSeq and is a predicted model, not a curated record. Lineage: Eukaryota; Metazoa; Chordata; Mammalia; Carnivora; Mustelidae.
AGGUAAAGUUUCUGAGUGAAGCACCAGAAUCUAUACAGACGAAUAGUGUUUUCUUGGCAACGGAGAAGCACUGCCAUGUGCUCCAAACCAGACAAAAGUCAUGCACAUUCCCUGAUUUUGUUCUCAGCUUCCCUGCUAUCUACGUGAAUUUGAUCAAGGAAUGUUAAGAAUACAAGGAGAAACUUCAUUUUGUGGUUGAGAGCUUGAGUUCUGGAAUCAUGCAAACAUGAGCUUCAAUGCCAGUUCCUCCAUCUCCCUUUAAAAAAAAAAAAACAAUUUGGAUACUGACUGGAACUGCAUUGAUUAGGUGGUAAUGAUUCCCAAAUAUCAUAGUUCUUGAUCAGCUCUCACUCAUGGACACAGAUACAAUGGUCUCCCUACCUACUGGACCAAAGCACUUGGAUAUCAUCUUCCAUUUGACCUUCCUGGUUGUAUGUAGCCCUGCCACCAAUCCUAUCUCCACACUGAAGCUAGAAUGACCACUCUAAAAAUCUUUCAUUUUUUCAUUUAGCAGAAGAACAUCACUUCUAUCUCUCCCAGCAAUCAUUAUAAUCUCAAUUUGGGGAAGGAAGCAGUAGCAAUCUAAAAAAGGUACACCUAGAAUUCAAACUGCCUUGGAUGAGAUUGAAGAGGGAAAAAGGAAUAUAAAGUUAACAGUUUAAGAAGCCUGCUUUAAGUCCAGAGCCAACGCACCAGCUCAGAGAGAGCCAAAGUGGCUUGUUUGAAAUGCAGCGCACAUAAGGAUGACCACUAAUUUGUGCUUUUCUAACCCGGCUCUUUGAUUUAAAAUUCCAGAUUUAGAACUAGGUCUGCUUUUCUGCCUUCUGGCUUACAGCUCCAGCCUCAACCUCCAAAUCAAAAUUUCUCAUCGAUUUUCCAGAGGUAUGAUGUGAAGGAAAACUGUUAGGUAGGUUUCAAGCACUCAGAAAACUUUAUACUAGUUCCUCUAGCAGAAUAAUCAAAUGUUUUUGACCUUUCCCACAGCUACAUGAGAAAUC